This 713-nucleotide small RNA is filed under the name Pongo abelii (Sumatran orangutan). Its description in RNAcentral is "processed transcript". Lineage: Eukaryota; Metazoa; Chordata; Mammalia; Primates; Hominidae. The record is from RNAcentral.
GUGUUUUCCUCCCGGGGGCCGUGCUCCCCCGCCCCGCGUAGCGGCGGUCGCCGCCACCGGCGCCUCCACCUCUACCAUCUCCUCUUUCUCCACCACCUCGGGCCCCGGUGUCCCCGGCCAGCACUAUGCCCAUCUUACUGUUCCUGAUAGACACGUCUGCCUCUAUGAACCAGCGCAGCCAUCUGGGCACCACCUACCUGGACACGGCCAAAGGCGCGGUAGAGACCUUCAUGAAGCUCCGUGCCCGGGACCCUGCCAGCAGAGGAGACAGGUAUAUGCUGGUCACUUUCGAAGAGCCGCCCUAUGCUAUCAAGGCUGGAUGGAAAGAAAACCAUGCAACGUUUAUGAAUGAACUGAAAAACCUUCAGGCUGAAGGACUUACGACUCUUGGCCAAUCCCUAAGGACAGCUUUUGAUUUAUUAAAUUUAAAUAGAUUAGUAACUGGCAUAGACAACUAUGGGCAGGGAAGAAACCCUUUUUUCUUGGAGCCAGCAAUAAUUAUCACAAUUACUGAUGGGAGCAAGUUGACUACCACCAGUGGAGUCCAGGAUGAGCUAAAGGAGCAGCCCAGUGGUUUUCAAGAAGUGCCAAAGUGCACUGACUGUCUCAUGAUGACUGGUGCCUCAGGGAGGGUCAUGAUUCCUGGAUACAGGAUCGACCUGAUCCUGGAUGUCACUUCAAGCAGUCAGAUCGUGGGGAAAAGCCUUGUCUAA